GUCAUGUCAACAUCUGAACGAUA
Molecule: non-coding RNA, 23 nt
Filed under: Arabidopsis thaliana (thale cress)
Lineage: Eukaryota; Viridiplantae; Streptophyta; Magnoliopsida; Brassicales; Brassicaceae
Source: RNAcentral